GAUGAACGCUGGCGGCGUGCCUAAUACAUGCAAGUCGAGCGAACGGACGAGAAGCUUGCUUCUCUGAUGUUAGCGGCGGACGGGUGAGUAACACGUGGAUAACCUACCUAUAAGACUGGGAUAACUUCGGGAAACCGGAGCUAAUACCGGAUAAUAUUUUGAACCGCAUGGUUCAAAAGUGAAAGACGGUCUUGCUGUCACUUAUAGAUGGAUCCGCGCUGCAUUAGCUAGUUGGUAAGGUAACGGCUUACCAAGGCAACGAUGCAUAGCCGACCUGAGAGGGUGAUCGGCCACACUAGAACUGAGACACGGUCCAGACUCCUAAGGUAGGCAGCAGUAGGGAAUCUUCCGCAAUGGGCGAAAGCCUGACGGAGCAACGCCGCGUGAGUGAUGAAGGUCUUCGGAUCGUAAAACUCUGUUAUUAGGGAAGAACAUAUGUGUAAGUAACUGUGCACAUCUUGACGGUACCUAAUCAGAAAGCCACGGCUAACUACGUG
Molecule: ribosomal RNA, 497 nt
Filed under: uncultured bacterium
Lineage: Bacteria
Description: partial 16S ribosomal RNA
Rfam family: Bacterial small subunit ribosomal RNA
Source: RNAcentral